This 291-nucleotide long non-coding RNA is filed under the name Oryctolagus cuniculus (rabbit). RNAcentral describes it as "lncRNA (ENSOCUG00000031632.1)". Lineage: Eukaryota; Metazoa; Chordata; Mammalia; Lagomorpha; Leporidae. The record is from RNAcentral.
UUUCUCUCUAGAUACUUUGGCCAUUUCCCAGCGUGAACUCCACAUAAUUUUGUUCAUGCGACUCUGGGAUGAAAAAGGCAAAUAAAACAAAGAGACUGACCAGUGAGCUCUGAGGCAUUGAUCACUGAAGCUUCUUCUGUCCAUCAUUCAUUGUCCUGGGAGCAUUGUCCGUAACCACAGAAUCUAUUCCAGGAUCCAAGUAUUCAUCCCCAUGGGUAUUUAGAAUUCCACAAUUAAGAACAAUUCUACUCGAUACUCGCUCUCCACAAAAUAACUGCACUCAUGGAAUCC